This 89-nucleotide transfer RNA is filed under the name Hortaea werneckii EXF-2000. It matches the Rfam family "tRNA". Rfam says of the family: Transfer RNA (tRNA) molecules are approximately 80 nucleotides in length. Lineage: Eukaryota; Fungi; Ascomycota; Dothideomycetes; Mycosphaerellales; Teratosphaeriaceae. The record is from Rfam by way of RNAcentral.
GUUUCCAUGGUCUAGUGGUAUGACGUUCGCUUCACACAGAGUCUCUGUUACUCCGCGAAAGGUCCCGGGUUCGAGCCCCGGUGGGAAUA